AUGUGCAUGAAGUAGGAUAAAUACUUUCUGAAAUAUUUCAUGGCAGAUAAUUAACCUAACUGAGUUCCAAUGUGAAACAGAAAGAUGUGUGGUAUUUUUUAAUAAGCUCUAGUAAAUGCUGGUGUGAAAUAUAAGAUAAAGCAUCCUCAGUCUGAACCCCUAAUGCUGUCAUAUGAUGUCUGGUGUUGCACAUUGGACAAAAUCGAAAACAUGUAGCAAAACCAUAAAUAUUGUCCAUCAUUUUUAAACCCUCCACAUUAUGUAUGUAUGUGUCUGUCCCAAGUCAGGAGCCUGUUAUUCAGUGGUUGUGGUUUGUUUGUUUUUUUAUCUUUUUUUUUUAAAUAAGGACGUGAGUUUUCUCCUUUGAAUUGUUUUACAUUGUCAUUUUGGGCCUUUUAUAGCUGACUAUGCGGUAUAGGCUUUGCUCAUUGUUGAAGUCCGUACAGUUACCUAUAACUGUUAAUUUCUGUAUCAUUUUGGUCUCUUGUAGAG
RNAcentral lists this long non-coding RNA (492 nucleotides) under Mytilus galloprovincialis (Mediterranean mussel). Lineage: Eukaryota; Metazoa; Mollusca; Bivalvia; Mytilida; Mytilidae. The record is from RNAcentral.